Molecule: long non-coding RNA, 4353 nt
Organism: Brassica napus (rape)
Lineage: Eukaryota; Viridiplantae; Streptophyta; Magnoliopsida; Brassicales; Brassicaceae
Exons: 2
Source: RefSeq, a predicted model, not a curated record
UCUAAAACGAAGUUCAUAUGAUAUACUAUAUAAAUUUUUUUUAAUUAAAAAUAGAUUCAUUCUAGAGUAAAUUAGCUCAAUAUACAAAAAGAAGUGAGAUACCAUAGAGUUGAGGGAAAAUGGUGAUGAUGGGGGGGAAAAAAUUGGGGGAAAAUAAGGUAUGGAGUGCAAAUAGGGUAUAUGUUGUGUGUAGGGAGUACAAAUUCUCUUCAUUCUAACCGAAUUUGAACAUUGCUUCUUUGAGUUUACAUAUUAGUUUGAUUAUAAGCAUAUAGUAUAAAAAUGAAAAUCUGAAACCAUGCAUUUAAAAGUUGAAAAAACUCUUAAUGUUUCUUGAAUUCUUGGUCUUUUAUAUCUAUUUUCAACAUAUGUUCUUUUGUGGGUGAUUCAGGGAUUUGCAGAAAGCAACAUGUAAUUUUACUACUUUGAUCCAAAGAGCAUUUGGACCUGUCUACAAAGCUCAAAUGUCCACAGGUUUACUUUCAAAGUUCUCGCCACUGAUUCCAAACAGGGAAAAAACGAGUUUCGGACAGAGAUAAGAACAUAAAUCUAUGAAAAUCUACUUUAUGAUUAUGUGUGACAUUCACAUCUAACUAAUAAGAAACUGUCUCUCUUAUAUGGUAAGUACGGUUCCCAACCUGUUCUUUUCUGUUUAAUACAUCUUCUGUAACAUUCUUUUUGUGCUUAGUCGUUACAAAAAAAAAUACAAUUAUUCUUGUCUUUCGUGUGGUUCUAUGUUAAGAUUCUUCAGAAGGCUAUAUAAGUGUCUAUGUCUUAAGUCAUGCAAUUAAUGGCUGCUUUUACUUUCCCGAAACCUCUCCUAGACAAGAAAUCAAGAUGAAAUGAUACAAACAAUUUUCAACUACCAUUAAAUUUGUACCAUAAAAAAAGUACCAAAACCAAGAAGACAAAUCACAAAAAUUUAUGCUAUGCUAUAAAUGUCAAUCAUCCAAAUGAAGUAAACCUUAAAUCAUUAAUUGUAUCAAAACUAUAUACGUUUUCAAAUGUUUAACAAUUUUUUUAUAAAUAUUAGCCCGCAGCGUAGCGCGGGUAUUUACCUAGUUUAUAUCAAUGUUUACUAGAACUGAUAUAACAUUCUCAUUAUUUUAGGUUCAUUUCUGUAUCAAUAAUUACAGAUUCAAUCAUUAUAUACACGAACUGAUUUAUUUAAAGAGAAAUUUGCUAAGAUAGUUAUUUUUAAGUUUUUAUCACAAAAAUAGUCAUCAAUAAAGAAAAUGACCAAAAUAAAUUUUAUUAAAAAGUGAAAAUGUAUUUUUACCAUAGGGUUAACUAAUCUAAACUUAGGAUUUAGAAUAGGGUUGGUUUUCAGGGAUAGACUUCCAAAUUUAAAAAAAAAAUUAAAAAUUAAAAAUUUCAAAAUAAAAAAAAAACUAUUUUGAUCAUUUUUAAAGCUAUUUUUGUGACAAAAACUUAAAAAUUGCUAUUUGAGAGAAUUACCCUUAUUUAAAUCUACGAUUCGCAAAUGGAAAAUUCUCUCAAAUACUUAUUUUUAAAAUUUUUGUCACAAAAUAACAUUCAAUAAAGAAAAUGACCAAAACUCUUUUUAUUUUAAAAUUUUUAAUAUUUAUUUUUUAAUUUUUUAAUUUAAAAUCUUAUCCUCGUAACUCCGUCCAUUAACUCUAAACUUUAAAUCUACUCCAUCCAUUAACUCUAAACUUUAAAUCUAAGUUAGUUAACUUUACGGUAUAAAUAUAUUUUUUUUCUUCUCCUCCAAAUUAUAGUGACAAGAAACUACAAUUGAAAAUGCUCAGACCGACUCAUACAACCUAUAUAUAAUAUAAGAGUGAUGAUGGCAGACAAAAUUUUGUUAUUUGUGUUUAGUACUACUGUUCAGACUUCAGAUUAUGUCCGAACACAAAAAUUAAAUACCAUAUCGAACCAUACCAAACCAAGAUAAAGAGUUCUAAUUCUGGUUCCUAUAACUUGAACCAAAAAACCCCAACAGAGAGCCAUCAUCAGGCAGGGGAAGCUAAUUUAGCUUUAGCUUUUGGUUUAGCAACAGUUUUCUAGCAGUUGCUACAGAGCUUACCAUAUGUAUAACAGACAGUUCAGGUCGAACUUUAGCUCAUAAGGAAUUCUGCGGUUGAGAUGACCAUAGGUUUUAUUCAUGUCUGCGGUUUUUGGGACCCAACCUGACGCCUUUGAGAUCUUUUUGAUACAAAGAAAAUAAAUACCAAACACAAAAAACCUGUGAAUCAUCAAUACGCAUCAAAACAAUAUCUUGAUUUCUAUCAAAUGGACUAUAUGAAUAACAGAAAAGAAAAGAGAGAGGGGAUUUUAAUCGUUGUGGGUUCUAUUCCUUUAUAAUGAUAGAGCUCAGUUUUUACUUCUUCUACCAAUAAACCACACAGAUAAUCAAAGGACAAUCUACCUCUUUCGUUCUGCAAACGGCUCAAAAUGUUUUUGAUAUAAACAGUCUUUUUGGGGGCUAAUCCUCCACAUCUUAUAGCAUUCUCGAUUGAUCUUGGCUCAGCAGCGAUAACCUACAGGGUAUGCAAAAAAAAAAACGAAGCUUUUUCAUAAUGGCAAACAAUCAAUAAAAAGAACAUAUGGAGUAAUUGUAAGCUCAUCAACUACAAAGCUCAAGGAGGAAAAGAAUUUAUGUGAGUAAAUCUUGACAUUAUAUAACAAUCCAGUGACACAAAUCUUUUCUAUUUAACAAUAUCAAAAUUCUUUUUUUCAAAACAUUUCAACAAAUUUCAAGUUAAAGUAAGCUCAGAGAUUCCCCCAACUUUUGCAAGCAAAUAGUUUGACACUGUUUUUUUGCCUUUAUGCAAACACUAAGAACGAAGUGUAGCAUUCGUUAGCUGAAACCCAUUACCAUAUCAACUUCACAAACCCUAGGCCUUUACACUUCCCAAAUCUUUCAAAAAACUAAUGAAACCUAGUUGUUUGCUAGAGUAAACACGGCGAGCUGGCGUAUUCCCAUUCAGGUUUGAAUAUAAUGGUUUUUUGUCGAUUGAUUCUCUCCUACCCAAAAAUUGAAACAUUUACCUUCCAAGACACAUUAUGAAUUAUCAAUUACACAUAAAGACACAUUGGGUCAAGAGAGCACUUUUUUAUGCUCAUUUGUCUGAAUUGCCCUUCAACUAGAGAGAAGGUGUCGGUAACAUUUGUCAAAAUUCUUUUCAAUAUUCUCUAUAAUUAAUUCCAUUCAACUUUCACCUUUUGAUUUCAUAUUUCUUAAUUCCCUAAACUCAAUCUUGCCUCAAUCUAUCGUCAUCUUCAUCUCUCAUCUUUCGUAUCCUUAUAAAGCUUCUUCUUCUUCACAAAAUUUGUAGAUUUUUUUAUAAUUCUAAAUCACUAAUUUCUGUUUGUCGCUUUAUCUUUCACUACUUUAUGUUUUAAAUCUGGAAAUCAUGGAAACCUCAGAUUGAGGCUAAGGAAAAUCUAUUAUGAAAUCUCAGAUUGGGAAAUUCCAGAUCUUCACCGAAUAUAUCCAAGGUUUGCUUUUAACUGAACUAUGAGAAUUUCAUAUACAUAUUUUUUUCCCUCUUUCAUACUUGUUUCUAAUUGAUAUACAAGAAGAUAAGAAAUAGAUAAAAAUUUGAUUUUCUUCUUAAGCAUACAUCGAAGCCUAUGUCUCUCCUGCAACAUUUGAUUCACAUGUCGCCCAUGCUUUUCAUGUCCAACAAUUUCCUUGUCCACAAAUGGGCUAUCCAUAAAGCUGUCGUCCAUGAAUUUCAUGUCCACCAAGCUCGUAUCCAUCCAUAUCCUCCCCAUCGUUCUCUUACCCACCAAUCUCAUAUCUGCAUCUCUCUUGUAUAUCAAUUUUUGGAUAUGACUUAACUAUGUGUGUGAGGUAACUAUUAUCUAAACGGUGGUAUAUUUUGAGUUAAGUGUGACUUCUCUCUGUUUGUAAGCAAAUAAGGGUUUGGAAAAUAGUCUCUUGUUGUUGCAUCUGUUGCUAAUGUUGUUCAGACAUGAACUAUGGAGUUCACUUCCAAGUUAAGUUGGUAGCUUCCAUGUUUGGUAUCUAAUUGGCACUAUACAAAAGUCUGGGACAGUUCACAAUAUUCAAUAUGCUGCUCAACUCCACAGAUCUGUCUCCCACAAUCUUCCUGUCCACGCCUUUGUCGAAGGCAUCCACGUACACACAUCCCCUGUCCACAACUCGUCUAUCUCCAACUUCGCAGUCCACACCUCUCUUGUCCACACACACACCUAGACUAGGAAAAACUUCAUCAAUAUAUGUUUUGUUGUAUCAAGAACUACUUCAUCAGUGUUAAAUUGUUUUGAGCAUGUUGUCCUAAAUGAUUAUUUGUUGUUUUUCUCUUUUAAAGGAACUAAUCAGUGUGUCUUUCUUUUCAAUGUUAUUGUUUUAAAUGGUUA